RNAcentral lists this transfer RNA (76 nucleotides) under Candidatus Woesebacteria bacterium RIFCSPHIGHO2_01_FULL_42_80. RNAcentral describes it as "tRNA-Ala". It matches the Rfam family "tRNA". From Rfam's summary of the family: Transfer RNA (tRNA) molecules are approximately 80 nucleotides in length. RNAcentral also lists the same sequence under 4 other names. The record is from RNAcentral. Lineage: Bacteria; Candidatus Woeseibacteriota.
GGGCCCGAAGUUUAACUGGCUGAACGCGUCAUUUGCAAUGACGAGGCAGGCGGUUCGACCCCGCCCGGGUCCACAA